This 692-nucleotide ribosomal RNA is filed under the name uncultured Enterococcus sp. RNAcentral describes it as "bacterial SSU rRNA". It matches the Rfam family "Bacterial small subunit ribosomal RNA", at positions 62 to 725 of the family's 1533-position model. Lineage: Bacteria; Bacillati; Bacillota; Bacilli; Lactobacillales; Enterococcaceae. The record is from RNAcentral.
UCGAACGCUUCUUUCCUCCCGAGUGCUUGCACUCAAUUGGAAAGAGGAGUGGCGGACGGGUGAGUAACACGUGGGUAACCUACCCAUCAGAGGGGGAUAACACUUGGAAACAGGUGCUAAUACCGCAUAACAGUUUAUGCCGCAUGGCAUAAGAGUGAAAGGCGCUUUCGGGUGUCGCUGAUGGAUGGACCCGCGGUGCAUUAGCUAGUUGGUGAGGUAACGGCUCACCAAGGCCACGAUGCAUAGCCGACCUGAGAGGGUGAUCGGCCACACUGGGACUGAGACACGGCCCAGACUCCUACGGGAGGCAGCAGUAGGGAAUCUUCGGCAAUGGACGAAAGUCUGACCGAGCAACGCCGCGUGAGUGAAGAAGGUUUUCGGAUCGUAAAACUCUGUUGUUAGAGAAGAACAAGGACGUUAGUAACUGAACGUCCCCUGACGGUAUCUAACCAGAAAGCCACGGCUAACUACGUGCCAGCAGCCGCGGUAAUACGUAGGUGGCAAGCGUUGUCCGGAUUUAUUGGGCGUAAAGCGAGCGCAGGCGGUUUCUUAAGUCUGAUGUGAAAGCCCCCGGCUCAACCGGGGAGGGUCAUUGGAAACUGGGAGACUUGAGUGCAGAAGAGGAGAGUGGAAUUCCAUGUGUAGCGGUGAAAUGCGUAGAUAUAUGGAGGAACACCAGUGGCGAAGGCGGC